Molecule: unclassified non-coding RNA, 194 nt
Filed under: uncultured fungus
Lineage: Eukaryota; Fungi
Description: partial contains 5.8S ribosomal RNA, internal transcribed spacer 2, and large subunit ribosomal RNA
Source: RNAcentral
AACGCAACUUGCGCCUGUUUUCAGGCAUGUCUAUUUGAGUACCGUUAACCAAAAAUAACAUGAGUUUAGUUGCUCUCAAGAGCUAAAGGUGGCUUGUAUACUGUGGGUUUGAAGUUAGAGACCCCCUUAUGGUCUUGUUCAUUCCUCCUUAUCUCACCGGUCUCAAAUUAGGCAAGAUUACCCGCUGAACUUAA